RNAcentral lists this ribosomal RNA (450 nucleotides) under uncultured bacterium. RNAcentral describes it as "bacterial SSU rRNA". It matches the Rfam family "Bacterial small subunit ribosomal RNA", at positions 328 to 792 of the family's 1533-position model. The record is from RNAcentral.
CCCCCAGACUCCUACGGGAGGCAGCAGUGGGGAAUAUUGGGCAAUGGGCGCAAGCCUGACCCAGCAACGCCGCGUGAAGGAAGAAGGCCCUCGGGUUGUAAACUUCUUUUAUCAAGGACGAAACAAAUGACGGUACUUGAUGAAUAAGCCACGGCUAACUACGUGCCAGCAGCCGCGGUAAUACGUAGGUGGCAAGCGUUAUCCGGAUUUACUGGGUGUAAAGGGCGUGUAGGCGGGACUGCAAGUCAGAUGUGAAAGCCCGGGGCUCAACCCCGGGACUGCAUUUGAAACUGUCAGGCUGGAGUGCAGGAGAGGUAAGUGGAAUUCCUAGUGUAGCGGUGAAAUGCGUAGAUAUUAGGAGGAACACCAGUGGCAAAGGCGGAUUGCUGGACAGUAACUGACGCUGAGGCGCGAAAGCGUGGGGAGCAAACAGGAUUAGAUACCCCUGUA